UGGUGUCGAUGAUGAUAAUUGUGAAUCCCAGCUCAUUAUGAGACCUUUUUGUAAGGUCUGGGACUAGAAUCUUUUCCACAUUUGUCUGAGGCAUUUACCC
Molecule: small nucleolar RNA, 100 nt
Organism: Lotus japonicus
Lineage: Eukaryota; Viridiplantae; Streptophyta; Magnoliopsida; Fabales; Fabaceae
Source: RefSeq, a predicted model, not a curated record